Molecule: long non-coding RNA, 911 nt
Filed under: Prunus persica (peach)
Lineage: Eukaryota; Viridiplantae; Streptophyta; Magnoliopsida; Rosales; Rosaceae
Description: long non-coding RNA (PPER_LNC005097)
Source: RNAcentral
UUGGAUUAUGAAAGUGUUUUAUGGAUUGUCUUGCAUAUUUAUAUUAUUUUGAUUAUUUUGAUUAUUGAGACUAUGAAUAUUUUGGGUUGUGGAAUUUAUGCUUUUGGGAGUUUGAUAUCUAUGCUAUGAAUAAAUAUUUGGGUAUAUUGGAAUAUUGAGAAUUUGGAAAGAAAAAAAAAUUGAUUUAAGGGAGGGUAUAUUAUUUUAUAUAUAUAGGUUUGUGAAAUGCACCAUCAUAUGUACUUCCCCGGCUCUUGGAUACUGAAAACAGUGGUUAUUUGGAAACAUUGGUCACUUGGUUACUUUGGAAUCCUGGCACCUUUGAUCGGGUGUGCAGUAGACCUUGACAAGCAGUCUGCACGCGUAGGACUUUUCACAGACGCACCAAUAUUAAGGAUUCUGCUAUGUGGUUUGGUGAGCCCAGUCCCCUAGUUGGACGGCUCGUUCCUUAGCCACAUGGUUAUUGAUGAUUCUUCCAUGCAGUCUAGUCAAACAAUCCCCAUGUUGGAUUGUUUUCCCUUGGUACAUGAUGUGUACUAUCAUAUGUACCUCCCCUUAGAUACUGAUACUUGAAAACAGUGGAUAUGAAUACUUGGAUAUGUCGGAACCUGGGCACCCUUGGCGGGGUGUUUCGUAGGCCCUUGGUCGGGCAGUCUGCGUGCAUAGGAAUUUUCACAGACGCACGAGUAUUGAGGAUUCUGUUGUGUGGUCUUGUGAGCCCAGUCUCCCGGUUGGACAGCUCGUUCCCUAGCCACAUGGUUAUUGAGGAUUCUCCCAUGUGAUCUAGUCAAACAAUCCCCGUGUUGGAUUAUUUUCCCCCGGUACAUGAUGUGUACUAUCAUAUGUACCUCCCCUUAGAUACUAAUAAUUGGAAACAGUGGAUAUGGAUACUUAGAUAUGUCAAAACCCGG